This 460-nucleotide ribosomal RNA is filed under the name uncultured bacterium. Its description in RNAcentral is "partial 16S ribosomal RNA". It matches the Rfam family "Bacterial small subunit ribosomal RNA", at positions 338 to 795 of the family's 1533-position model. The record is from RNAcentral.
CCUACGGGUGGCAGCAGUGAGGAAUAUUGGUCAAUGGCCGAGAGGCUGAACCAGCCAAGUCGCGUGAGGGAAGACGGCCCUACGGGUUGUAAACCUCUUUUGUCGGGGAGCAAAGAGAGUCACGUGUGACUCAUUGAGAGUACCCGAAGAAAAAGCAUCGGCUAACUCCGUGCCAGCAGCCGCGGUAAUACGGAGGAUGCGAGCGUUAUCCGGAUUUAUUGGGUUUAAAGGGUGCGCAGGCGGCCUGUUAAGUCAGGGGUAAAAGGCCGGGGCUCAACCCCAGCAGAGCCGUUGAAAUUGGCGGGCUGGAGUACGAGAGAGGUACGCGGAAUGCGUGGUGUAGCGGUGAAAUGCUUAGAUAUCGCGAAGAACCCCGAUUGCGAAGGCAGCGUACCGGCUCCACACUGACGCUGAGGCACGAAAGCGUGGGUAUCGAACAGGAUUAGAUACCCCAGUAGUC